Long non-coding RNA from Eriocheir sinensis (Chinese mitten crab), 655 nucleotides. RefSeq lists it as uncharacterized. The transcript has 2 exons. Lineage: Eukaryota; Metazoa; Arthropoda; Malacostraca; Decapoda; Varunidae. The record is from RefSeq and is a predicted model, not a curated record.
AGAAACACAAAGGAAGAACAAACAACAGCAGACCUGCUGGUCCUUACGAGGCUGUUUGUGACAAGCUACACUAACUAUCUAAACAAAGGUGGCAGGAAAGGAAAAAGAACCAUGCAGCAAGAGGAGGAGGAGAGGGAGCAGUAGGAGGAGGAGGAGGAGGAGGAGGAGGAAUUAGACUUAGAAAAGGACACACACACACACACACACACACACACACACACAUACACACACACACAUACAAGAACACAACAGCAAGGACUGGAAGAAGCCUUGAAAUAUACAUACAUACAUAUAUACAUACCGUACGUAGGCGGUGGCUGAGUGGUUAGCGUGCUGGACUCAACAUUCACGGCGCCGUGGACCACGUCGGUUCGAGUCCCCGCGCUACCACCUGGGAUUUUUGAGUCACCGCUGAGUGGCCUAAGACUACCCACAUGCUGUCCUGAAGACCACCCAUCAACCCGGACUCUAGAAGAAACCGUCCAGUGAAUCAAGAAUGAGUUCCGGGGGGCAGCAUGAGCCGAGCAUAACCGGCGCCACUAUAAAAAAAAAUGCCUGCGCCACGACGGGUUUGGGCCGACCAUCUGGACCCUGAAGAAAGCCUACCGGCGCUAUAGGCGGGGAUGUAAAAAAAAAAAAUAAAUAAAUAAAAAUA